RNAcentral lists this ribosomal RNA (465 nucleotides) under uncultured bacterium. Its description in RNAcentral is "partial 16S ribosomal RNA". It matches the Rfam family "Bacterial small subunit ribosomal RNA", at positions 338 to 795 of the family's 1533-position model. The record is from RNAcentral.
CCUACGGGUGGCAGCAGUGGGGAAUCUUGCUCAAUGGACGAAAGUCUGACGCAGCGACGCCGCGUGAGGGAUGAAGGUCUUCUGAUCGUAAACCUCUGUUUGUAGGGAAGUACGAUCACGGUCGUAAUCAGCAUUGAUUUGACGGUACCUACAAAGAACGCCCCGGCUAACUCCGUGCCAGCAGCCGCGGUAAUACGGAGGUUGCGUGCGUUAAUCGGAUUUGUUGGGCGUAAAGCGAGCGUAGGCGGUAUGUGAAGUCUGAGGUGAAAGCCUGCGGCUCAACCGGAGAAUUGCAUCUGAGACUGUUAGGCUAGAGAGCAGUUGAGGUAGGCGGAAUGUAAGGUGUAGCGGUGGAAUGCUUAGAGAUCAUGCAGAACACCGAUUGCGAAGGCAGCUUACUAAUCUGCUACUGACGUUGAGGCACGAAAGCGUGGGGAGCAAACAGGAUUAGAUACCCUUGUAGUC